Molecule: transfer RNA, 93 nt
Filed under: Klebsiella pneumoniae
Lineage: Bacteria; Pseudomonadati; Pseudomonadota; Gammaproteobacteria; Enterobacterales; Enterobacteriaceae
Description: tRNA-His(gtg)
Source: RNAcentral
GCUGGCCUGGCUGAUGGGCGGCAGCCCGCUGCUGUGGUCGGUGCUGGCCGGGGCGGUGGUGCUGGCGCUGCUGUGCGGCCUGGUGGGCUGGGG